GUGCACUCACUUCAGCAGCACAUAUACUAAAACUGGAACAAUACAGAGAAGCUUAGCAUGGCCCCUCCAUGAGGAUGACAUGCAAAUUCAUGAAGCGUUCCAUAUUUUA
Oryctolagus cuniculus (rabbit) is the source of this 109-nucleotide small nuclear RNA. Lineage: Eukaryota; Metazoa; Chordata; Mammalia; Lagomorpha; Leporidae. The record is from Rfam.